RNAcentral lists this ribosomal RNA (301 nucleotides) under uncultured bacterium. Its description in RNAcentral is "partial 16S ribosomal RNA". It matches the Rfam family "Bacterial small subunit ribosomal RNA", at positions 509 to 807 of the family's 1533-position model. The record is from RNAcentral.
CAGUAGCCACGGGAAAACGAAGGGGGCUAGCGUUGUUCGGAAUUACUGGGCGUAAAGGGCGCGUAGGCGGCCAUUCAAGUUAGAUGUGAAAGCCCUGGGCUCAACCUAGGAAUUGCAUCUGAUACUGUUUGGCUUGAGUUCGGGAGGGGUGAGUGGAAUUCCCAGUGUAGAGGUGAAAUUCGUAGAUAUUGGGAAGAACACCAGUGGCGAAGGCGGCUCACUGGACCGACACUGACGCUGAGGCGCGAAAGCGUGGGGAGCAAACAAGAUUAGAUACCCCAGUAGUCCCUGUCUCUUAUAC